Molecule: long non-coding RNA, 1131 nt
Organism: Cavia porcellus (domestic guinea pig)
Lineage: Eukaryota; Metazoa; Chordata; Mammalia; Rodentia; Caviidae
Exons: 3
Source: RefSeq, a predicted model, not a curated record
GAAUGCUGAGGACGGUUUCUUCCUGAAAGGCCACUUUUCUAACGAAAACGUUUGGUGCCAUCUGCUGGCCAAACUUAGCCGACGUCUAAGAGUUCACAGUACAAAUGGCUCCCAUGGAAUCGGACACAGAAAACUCCGCUACAGCUCAUUUGCAGGUGAUACAGACCAAUUCUGUGUAUCCACCACCUGCUGGGAUCAGUCAUCAGGAGACUUAUUCUCAUAAGUCUUCUUAGAGUGGCCACAGAAAUCACCCACUGCAGAAAACCAGAGGAAUACUGGAAUGAGGAUGCCAUGGCCCCCGUCAACAGAGCCAGAGAAACCACAUACUUAACAGAUCAGCAGGGUUUUCAGAUUUCUCAACUUCCUGUUUGGUGAGGAACGGCAUGUGACCCACUGCUGGCCAGUAGGCUGUGGAUGGAACUUCCCAAGAUGGCCCUUCUCGGAAUGAAGGGAGCAGGGCCUCCCUGGCAGAAAGCUCUUCUAUCCUUAUACUUUGGUCCUUCCCUCAUUCCUGCUGAGAAGAAGACAAGAACCAUGCAGCAAUAUGAAGGAAGCAAUAUGAGGAGGAUGGGCAGCAAGAGGAUGGUAAUAUGGGAAAUGGUAAUAUGGGAAAUGGGCAGAACUCACAAUGGAGAUGCUACGGAGGCCUCACUGGACCAUUCUUGUGUGCUUAAUUACAGGACUCCUUUUGCAUAGCACAAAAUAAGCCACUCUGUGUUCAGUCCACUAGAGUUAGGUUGACCUUCAUAUCCAGUCUCUGCAUCCUCAGAUUCAAUCGAUUGUGAAUUGAGGGUGCUGCACACUGUGUUUGAAAACAAAAAUUACAUCUGCACUGAACCUUUACAGACUUCUUUUUCUUGUCACUCCUUAAUACAGUUAACGAUAUGCUUUUAGAAACAUUUGCAUUAUUAGGAAUUAUAAAUAAUCUAGAGAUGAUUUAAACUACUGCAUAGGAAAGGACAUGCAUAGAUUCUAUGCAAAUACUUCACAGUUUUAUAUGAGUGGGUGGAGCAUCCUUUUGCAGAUCUAAGAAUCUUGAGGGAUCCUGAAACCAAACCCUUGUGGAGAGCCAGGGAUGGCUGUACUUUACCAUUUCUAUUUCACAUAUAUAUAUGAGCUUGAACCUACAAA